ACUGCUGGAAGCGUUCGGUGGCGCGGAAGUUCUUCUCAUGGGCUUCGACGUCGUCCCACUCGACGAGCAGCAC
RNAcentral lists this transfer RNA (73 nucleotides) under Paractinoplanes abujensis. RNAcentral describes it as "tRNA-Glu". The record is from RNAcentral. Lineage: Bacteria; Bacillati; Actinomycetota; Actinomycetes; Micromonosporales; Micromonosporaceae.